RNAcentral lists this ribosomal RNA (253 nucleotides) under uncultured bacterium. RNAcentral's name for it is "partial 16S ribosomal RNA". It matches the Rfam family "Bacterial small subunit ribosomal RNA", at positions 524 to 776 of the family's 1533-position model. The record is from RNAcentral.
GACAGAGGGUGCAAACGUUGUUCGGAAUUACUGGGCGUAAAGCGCGUGUAGGCAGCUUAGCAAGUCGGGUGUGAAAGCCCUGGGCUCAACCUAGGAAGUGCACUCGAAACUGCUUCGCUUGAGUAUCGGAGAGGAAAGCGGAAUUCUCGGUGUAGAGGUGAAAUUCGUAGAUAUCGAGAGGAACACCAGUGGCGAAGGCGGCUUUCUGGACGAUCACUGACGCUGAGACGCGAAAGCGUGGGGAGCAAACAGG